This 468-nucleotide ribosomal RNA is filed under the name uncultured bacterium. RNAcentral describes it as "partial 16S ribosomal RNA". It matches the Rfam family "Bacterial small subunit ribosomal RNA", at positions 28 to 506 of the family's 1533-position model. The record is from RNAcentral.
GACGUACGCUGGCGGCGUGCUUAACACAUGCCAGUCGAACGGAAAGGCCCUGCUUUUGUGGGGUGCUCGAGUGGCGAACGGGUGAGUAACACGUGAGUAACCUGCCCUUGACUUUGGGAUAACUUCAGGAAACUGGGGCUAAUACCGGAUAGGAGCUCCUGCUGCAUGGUGGGGGUUGGAAAGUUUCGGCGGUUGGGGAUGGACUCGCGGCUUAUCAGCUUGUUGGUGGGGUAGUGGCUUACCAAGGCUUUGACGGGUAGCCGGGCUGAGAGGGUGACCGGGCCAGUAGGGAGCGGGAAAGGGGGCCAACGCCCGAGGGGGGGCAGGAGGGGGGAAAUUGGCAAAAGGGGGGGAAGCGUGAGGGAGAAAGGCCGGGGGGGGGAGGAGGGCUUUCGGGUUGUAAACCGGUUUGCCUUGUGAGGAAGGGGGGGGGGGGGGAAUGGGUAAAAAAGCCCCGGUUAAUAACGG